CUACGGGCGGCUCCAGUGGGGAAUAUUGGACAAUGGGCGCAAGCCUGAUCCAGCCAUGCCGCGUGUGUGAAGAAGGCCUUCGGGUUGUAAAGCACUUUCAGUUGGGAGGAAAGGUUAGUCGCUAAUAUCGGCUAGCUGUGACGUUACCAACAGAAGAAGCACCGGCUAACUCCGUGCCAGCAGCCGCGGUAAUACGGAGGGUGCAAGCGUUAAGCGGAAUUACUGGGCGUAAAGCGUACGCAGGCGGUUGAUUAAGCGAGAUGUGAAAGCCCCGGGCUCAACCUGGGAACUGCAUUUCGAACUGGUCAACUAGAGUGUGAUAGAGGGUGGUAGAAUUUCAGGUGUAGCGGUGAAAUGCGUAGAGAUCUGAAGGAAUACCGAUGGCGAAGGCAGCCACCUGGGUCAACACUGACGCUCAUGUACGAAAGCGUGGGGAGCAAACAGGAUUAGAUACCCUAGUAGUC
RNAcentral lists this ribosomal RNA (464 nucleotides) under uncultured bacterium. Its description in RNAcentral is "partial 16S ribosomal RNA". It matches the Rfam family "Bacterial small subunit ribosomal RNA", at positions 339 to 795 of the family's 1533-position model. The record is from RNAcentral.